AUAAUAUCAAAGCCAUCCACAACUCAGCCGGUCAAUAACGUUUUCCUUUUUCUUUCUCUAUUGUGAAGGUGUGGCGGGGCACCCUGGCCCGCAUGCGGUACAAAAGAACCAAGGCAGCUCUGACCAUAAUCAGGUACUACCGGCGCUACAAAGUGAAGUCGUACAUCCACGAGGUGGCCAGACGCUUCCAUGGCGUCAAGACCAUGCGAGACUACGGGAAGCACGUGAAGUGGCCAAGCCCUCCUAAAGUUCUUCGCCGUUUUGAGGAGGCCCUGCAGACGAUUUUCAAUAGAUGGAGAGCAUCCCAGCUCAUCAAGAGCAUUCCGGCCUCAGACCUGCCCCAGGUCAGGGCAAAGGUUGCAGCCAUGGAAAUGUUGAAGGGUCAAAGGGCUGACCUCGGGCUCCAGAGGGCCUGGGAGGGCAACUAUCUUGCUUCAAAGCCAGAUACACCUCAGACCUCAGGCACUUUUGUCCCUGUUGCUAAUGAAUUGAAACGGAAGGACAAAUACAUGAAUGUCCUCUUUUCCUGUCACGUCCGUAAGGUAAAUCGAUUUAGUAAGGUGGAAGACAGAGCAAUUUUUGUCACUGACCGUCACCUGUAUAAAAUGGAUCCCACUAAACAGUACAAGGUGAUGAAGACUAUCCCUCUAUACAAUUUGACUGGUCUGAGUGUCUCCAAUGGAAAGGACCAACUUGUAGUGUUCCAUACGAAAGACAACAAAGACCUCAUUGUCUGCCUCUUCAGCAAACAGCCAACCCAUGAGAGUCGAAUUGGAGAACUUGUUGGAGUGCUGGUGAAUCAUUUCAAGAGUGAGAAGCGCCACCUUCAAGUGAACGUCACCAACCCAGUACAGUGCAGCCUGCACGGGAAGAAGUGCACCGUCUCCGUGGAGACGCGGCUCAACCAGCCCCAGCCCGACUUCACCAAGAAUCGCUCGGGCUUCAUCCUCAGCGUGCCCGGGAACUGACGCCCCGCGGAGGCCUGGCCCGGAGCCCGGCCACACUCCG
RNAcentral lists this small RNA (1008 nucleotides) under Pan troglodytes (chimpanzee). RNAcentral's name for it is "retained intron". Lineage: Eukaryota; Metazoa; Chordata; Mammalia; Primates; Hominidae. The record is from RNAcentral.